RNAcentral lists this ribosomal RNA (248 nucleotides) under Parmotrema praesorediosum. RNAcentral's name for it is "partial 28S ribosomal RNA". It matches the Rfam family "Bacterial small subunit ribosomal RNA", at positions 878 to 1161 of the family's 1533-position model. Lineage: Eukaryota; Fungi; Ascomycota; Lecanoromycetes; Lecanorales; Parmeliaceae. The record is from RNAcentral.
GAGUAAUUUGGCAACAUUGGAAUUGAAAUCAUUAGACCGUUUCUGAAACCAGUAGUGAAGUAUGUUGUUUAAUUUGAUAACACGCAAAAAACCUUACCACAAUUUGAAUAUUUAUAUUGAACAUAUAUCUACAAGCGUUGCACGGCUGUCUUCAGUUAAUGUCGUGAGACUGGUUAGUUCCAUUAAUUAAGCGUAAACCCUUACUUUAUUUUUUAUAUAAAGUAGUUCCCCGCUAGAUUGGAUAUGAU